UUGGCAAGUUUAGCCACAUGAAGACCCAUGUUAGCCUAGGAAACAUGGUGUGGGGGACAAAGUUGGCUAAUGAAGACAUGCUACGAGUGUGGAGGAUGAUAAGGAUCAGCCACCAGAGAAAAAAGUUCCUGUUUGACCAAAGAGAAAGAAGCAGAUGAAAUAUUCCCCAAGAAAAUUAGUGACCACAAUGAACUGAGUCAUCACCGACUAUGAAAAUGUCCAGAAGAGAUUCACCAAGUUUGAAUUCAU
Long non-coding RNA from Poecilia latipinna (sailfin molly), 249 nucleotides. RefSeq lists it as uncharacterized. NCBI's taxonomy places the organism in Eukaryota, Metazoa, Chordata, Actinopteri, Cyprinodontiformes, Poeciliidae. The transcript has 2 exons. The record is from RefSeq and is a predicted model, not a curated record.